GUAGAAUGGAAGAGUUAGGUGUGGUU
RNAcentral lists this small RNA (26 nucleotides) under Bombyx mori (domestic silkworm). RNAcentral describes it as "piRNA piR-bmo-1694675". The record is from RNAcentral. Lineage: Eukaryota; Metazoa; Arthropoda; Insecta; Lepidoptera; Bombycidae.